Molecule: ribosomal RNA, 490 nt
Filed under: uncultured bacterium
Lineage: Bacteria
Description: partial 16S ribosomal RNA
Rfam family: Bacterial small subunit ribosomal RNA
Source: RNAcentral
AUUGAACGCUGGCGGCAGGCCUAACACAUGCAAGUCGAACGGUAACAGGAAGAAGCUUGCUUCUUUGCUGACGAGUGGCGGACGGGUGAGUAAUGUCUGGGAAACUGCCUGAUGGAGGGGGAUAACUACUGGAAACGGUAGCUAAUACCGCAUAACGUCGCAAGACCAAAGAGGGGGACCUUCGGGCCUCUUGCCAUCGGAUGUGCCCAGAUGGGAUUAGCUAGUAGGUGGGGUAACGGCUCACCUAGGCGACGAUCCCUAGCUGGUCUGAGAGGAUGACCAGCCACACUGGAACUGAGACACGGUCCAGACUCCUACGGGAGGCAGCAGUGGAGAAUAUUGCACAAUGGGCGCAAGCCUGAUGCAGCCAUGCCGCGUGUAUGAAGAAGGCCUUCGGGUUGUAAAGUACUUUCAGCGGGGAGGAAGGGAGUAAAGUUAAUACCUUUGCUCAUUGACGUUACCCGCAGAAGAAGCACCGGCUAACUCCGUG